CAGACACAUCGAGAACUGGCGCGGCCUGCACACGCUCAACGCCGUGGACAUGGAGCUCUACACCGGCCUCCAGAAGCUGACCAUCAAGAACUCAGGACUUCGGAGCAUCCAGCCCAGAGCCUUCGCCAAGAACCCUCACCUGCGCUACAUAAACCUGUCGAGUAACCGGCUCACCACUCUCUCGUGGCAGCUCUUCCAGACGCUCAGUCUCCGGGAACUGUAAGUGG
Condylura cristata (star-nosed mole) is the source of this 227-nucleotide long non-coding RNA. RefSeq lists it as uncharacterized. Lineage: Eukaryota; Metazoa; Chordata; Mammalia; Eulipotyphla; Talpidae. The transcript has 3 exons. The record is from RefSeq and is a predicted model, not a curated record.